RNAcentral lists this ribosomal RNA (2922 nucleotides) under Klebsiella pneumoniae. Its description in RNAcentral is "23S ribosomal RNA". It matches the Rfam family "Bacterial large subunit ribosomal RNA". Lineage: Bacteria; Pseudomonadati; Pseudomonadota; Gammaproteobacteria; Enterobacterales; Enterobacteriaceae. The record is from RNAcentral.
GGGUUGUGAGGUUAAGCGACUAAGCGUACACGGUGGAUGCCCUGGCAGUCAGAGGCGAUGAAGGACGUGCUAAUCUGCGAAAAGCGUCGGUAAGGUGAUAUGAACCGUUACAGCCGGCGAUGUCCGAAUGGGGAAACCCAGUGCAAUUCGUUGCACUAUCGUUAACUGAAUACAUAGGUUAACGAGGCGAACCGGGGGAACUGAAACAUCUAAGUACCCCGAGGAAAAGAAAUCAACCGAGAUUCCCCCAGUAGCGGCGAGCGAACGGGGAGCAGCCCAGAGUCUGAAUCAGCUUGUGUGUUAGUGGAACGGUCUGGAAAGUCCGACGGUACAGGGUGAUAGUCCCGUACACCAAAAUGCACAGGUUGUGAACUCGAAGAGUAGGGCGGGACACGUGGUAUCCUGUCUGAAUAUGGGGGGACCAUCCUCCAAGGCUAAAUACUCCUGACUGACCGAUAGUGAACCAGUACCGUGAGGGAAAGGCGAAAAGAACCCCGGCGAGGGGAGUGAAAAAGAACCUGAAACCGUGUACGUACAAGCAGUGGGAGCACCUUCGGGUGUGACUGCGUACCUUUUGUAUAAUGGGUCAGCGACUUAUAUUCUGUAGCAAGGUUAACCGUAUAGGGGAGCCGCAGGGAAACCGAGUCUUAACUGGGCGUUAAGUUGCAGGGUAUAGACCCGAAACCCGGUGAUUCAGCCAUGGGCAGGUUGAAGGUUGGGUAACACUAACUGGAGGACCGAACCGACUAAUGUUGAAAAAUUAGCGGAUGACUUGUGGCUGGGGUGAAAGGCCAAUCAAACCGGGAGAUAGCUGGUUCUCCCCGAAAGCUAUUUAGGUAGCGCCUCGUGAACUCAUCUUCGGGGGUAGAGCACUGUUUCGGCUAGGGGGUCAUCCCGACUUACCAACCCGAUGCAAACUACGAAUACCGAAGAAUGUUAUCACGGGAGACACACGGCGGGUGCUAACGUCCGUCGUGAAGAGGGAAACAACCCAGACCGCCAGCUAAGGUCCCAAAGUCAUGGUUAAGUGGGAAACGAUGUGGGAAGGCACAGACAGCCGGGAUGUUGGCUAGAAGCAGCCAUCAUUUAAAGAAAGCGUAAUAGCUCACUGGUCGAGUCGGCCUGCGCGGAAGAUGUAACGGGCUAAACCAUGCACCGAAGCUGCGGCAGCGACACUAUGUGUUGUUGGGUAGGGGGAGCGUUCUGUCAAGCCUGCGAAGGUGUGCUGUGAGGCAUGCUGGAGGUAUCAGAAGUGCGAAUGCUGACAUAAGUAACGAUAAAGCGGGUGAAAAGCCCGCUCGCCGGAAGACCAAGGGUUCCUGUCCAACGUUAAUCGGGGCAGGGUGAGUCGACCCCUAAGGCGAGGCCGAAAGGCGUAGUCGAUGGGAAACAGGUUAAUAUUCCUGUACUUGGUGUUACUGCGAAGGGGGGACGGAGAAGGCUAUGUUAGCCGGGCGACGGUUGUCCCGGUUUAAGCAUGUAGGCUGGUUAUCCGUGCAAAUCCGGAUAAUCAAGGCUGAGGUGUGAUGACGAGGCACUACGGUGCUGAAGUAACAAAUGCCCUGCUUCCGUGAAAAGCCUCUAAGCAUCAGGUAACAUCAAAUCGUACCCCAAACCGACACAGGUGGUCAGGUAGAGAAUACCAAGGCGCUUGAGAGAACUCGGGUGAAGGAACUAGGCAAAAUGGUGCCGUAACUUCGGGAGAAGGCACGCUGGUGUGUAGGUGAAGUCCCUGCGGAUGGAGCUGAGACCAGUCGAAGAUACCAGCUGGCUGCAACUGUUUAUUAAAAACACAGCACUGUGCAAACACGAAAGUGGACGUAUACGGUGUGACGCCUGCCCGGUGCCGGAAGGUUAAUUGAUGGGGUUAUCCGUAAGGAGAAGCUCUUGAUCGAAGCCCCGGUAAACGGCGGCCGUAACUAUAACGGUCCUAAGGUAGCGAAAUUCCUUGUCGGGUAAGUUCCGACCUGCACGAAUGGCGUAAUGAUGGCCAGGCUGUCUCCACCCGAGACUCAGUGAAAUUGAACUCGCUGUGAAGAUGCAGUGUACCCGCGGCAAGACGGAAAGACCCCGUGAACCUUUACUAUAGCUUGACACUGAACAUUGAGCCUUGAUGUGUAGGAUAGGUGGGAGGCUUUGAAGCGUGGACGCCAGUCUGCGUGGAGCCAACCUUGAAAUACCACCCUUUAAUGUUUGAUGUUCUAACGUUGGCCCCUGACCGGGGUUGCGGACAGUGUCUGGUGGGUAGUUUGACUGGGGCGGUCUCCUCCCAAAGCGUAACGGAGGAGCACGAAGGUUAGCUAAUCCUGGUCGGACAUCAGGAGGUUAGUGCAAUGGCAUAAGCUAGCUUGACUGCGAGCGUGACGGCGCGAGCAGGUGCGAAAGCAGGUCAUAGUGAUCCGGUGGUUCUGAAUGGAAGGGCCAUCGCUCAACGGAUAAAAGGUACUCCGGGGAUAACAGGCUGAUACCGCCCAAGAGUUCAUAUCGACGGCGGUGUUUGGCACCUCGAUGUCGGCUCAUCACAUCCUGGGGCUGAAGUAGGUCCCAAGGGUAUGGCUGUUCGCCAUUUAAAGUGGUACGCGAGCUGGGUUUAGAACGUCGUGAGACAGUUCGGUCCCUAUCUGCCGUGGGCGCUGGAGAAUUGAGGGGGGCUGCUCCUAGUACGAGAGGACCGGAGUGGACGCAUCACUGGUGUUCGGGUUGUCAUGCCAAUGGCACUGCCCGGUAGCUAAAUGCGGAAGAGAUAAGUGCUGAAAGCAUCUAAGCACGAAACUUGCCCCGAGAUGAGUUCUCCCUGAGACUAUAAGUCUCCUGAAGGAACGUUAAAGACGAUGACGUUGAUAGGCCGGGUGUGUAAGCGCAGCGAUGCGUUGAGCUAACCGGUACUAAUGAACCGUGAGGCUUAACCUUACAACGCCGAAG